GAAGAACGCAGCUAAUUGCGCGUCAACAUGUGAACUGCAGGAUACAUGAACAUUGACAUUUCGAACGCAUAUUGCGGUCCUCGGAUACUGUUCCCGGACCGCACCUGGCUGAGGGUCGU
This 119-nucleotide ribosomal RNA is filed under the name Tunga penetrans (chigger). RNAcentral's name for it is "partial 5.8S ribosomal RNA". It matches the Rfam family "5.8S ribosomal RNA", at positions 38 to 154 of the family's 154-position model. Rfam says of the family: 5.8S ribosomal RNA (5.8S rRNA) is a component of the large subunit of the eukaryotic ribosome. It is transcribed by RNA polymerase I as part of the 45S precursor that also contains 18S and 28S rRNA. The record is from RNAcentral. Lineage: Eukaryota; Metazoa; Arthropoda; Insecta; Siphonaptera; Hectopsyllidae.